ACAAAUACACAACCAAAACGACCCUAACAAAUGUUAAGCAGGUAGUACAACCUAACAUAUACGAUAUUAAUAAUAAUCUAAUACCACAAGUGAAAAAUACUUCCACUUUUAAUGAACGAGUCAUAAAACAUAAUUCGACUUUGACUAAAAUAGAUAAAAAUGUCACAACAGAUAAACAAACUAAUAAGUUUAUCAAAAACAUAAAACAAAACAUACCAUCUGUAUAUAAUAGUAACGAUGUUUAUCCAUUGUCAACCAUACAACCAACAUUAAUAAAAUAUAAUAACAUGAAAACAAAAGUAAAUGAUGAAUCAUAUUUUAGUGAUGAUUAUAAAGUUCAGAGUAUUCGUACUAAUGUGGUCAAUAACAAAGAGUUAAAAACAAAAAAAAAAACACUUAAUCAACAAAAUUAUAUUAUAAAUAAAAAGAAUACAAUUGAAGAUACGGAUAAGAUAAAGGGAGGUAAAGUUUCUUUUGUUAAUAAUGAAAAUAAAAAAAAUAUAUUUGAAUCUGAAAAAAAAAUAUAUAAUACUUCCCAUAUAUCAAAUAUACAAGUAAAUAACAAACUUGAAAAAGAGGCUAUAAAUUAUAACAUAUUAAAUCAUGAUAAUAGUAAUGGUAGUAAUAACUUGAAAAAGCUCAAAACAAAUCUUGUUCCUAGUAUAACAGAAAAAAAAACUAUUAUUGGAAAAAACACGACUGAUUUUCAAAAUUUGCUUAAACAUGCUAAAUACUCGUUUUUAUUGUCUGGUAAUAGCAAUGAAGUUCCAGUAUUCAGACUAAAUGGAAAGGAGGAAAAAGUAACAGGUGAUGGGUUAGAAAAUGAUGACAGGGAUGAAGCUGAGGAAAUAGAGGAGGAAGAGGAGGAGGAAGAUGAAGAGGAGGAAGAUGAAGAGGAGGAAGAUGAAGAGGAGGAAGAUGAAGAAAUAGCUGAAGAGGAAGAAAUAGAGGAAGAGGAAGAAGUAGAGGAGGAGGAGGAGGAGGAAGAGGAAGAGGAAGAGGAAGAGGAAGAAGAAGAGGAAGAAGAUGAAAUAGAGGAGGAAAAUGGAGUAGAGGAGGAAAAUGGAGUAGAGGAGGAAGAAGAAGAGAAGGAGGAAGAAGAGGAGGAAGAGGAAGAGGAAGAGGAAGAGGAAGAAGAAGAGGAAGUAGAGGAGGAAAAUGAAGUAGAGGAGGAAGAGGAAGUAGAGGAGGAGGAAGAGGAAGUAGAGGAGGAGGAAGAAGAAGAGGAAGA
Molecule: long non-coding RNA, 1231 nt
Organism: Piliocolobus tephrosceles (Ugandan red Colobus)
Lineage: Eukaryota; Metazoa; Chordata; Mammalia; Primates; Cercopithecidae
Source: Ensembl